This 468-nucleotide ribosomal RNA is filed under the name uncultured bacterium. RNAcentral's name for it is "partial 16S ribosomal RNA". It matches the Rfam family "Bacterial small subunit ribosomal RNA", at positions 28 to 507 of the family's 1533-position model. The record is from RNAcentral.
GACGAACGCUGGCGGCGUGCUUAACACAUGCAAGUCGAACGGAAAGGCCCUGCUUUUGUGGGGUGCUCGAGUGGCGAACGGGUGAGUAACACGUGUGUAACCUGCCCUUGACUUUGGGAUAACUUCUGGAAACUGGGGCUAAUACCGGAUAUGAGCUCCUGCUGCAUGGUGGGGGUUGGUAAGUUUCGGCCGUUGGGGAUGGUCUCGCUGCUUAUCAGCUUCAUGGUGAGGUAGUGGCUUACCAAGGCUUUGACGGGUAGCCGGCCUGAGAGGGUGACCGGCCACAUUGGGACUGAGAGACGGCCCAGACUCCUACGGGAGGCAGCAGUGGGGAAUAUUGCACAAUGGGCGGAAGCCAGAUGCAGCAAUGCCGCGUGCGGGAUGAAGGCCUUCGGGUUGUAAACCACUUUCGCCGGUGACGAAGAGUGAGUGACGGUAAUGGGUAAAGAAGCAACGGCUAACUACGUG